GGAUUAAAGGCGUGUGCCACCACGCCUCCUGGCAACACUCCACGUGCAUCCCUCCGGAAGCUGUGGCUCAGGCGAAGAGGACGACCUUCCCGGAUAGAGGAGGACCGGUCUGGUCUUCGGUCAAGGGUAUCCGAGUAGCUGCGCUCCCCUGCUAGAACCUCCAAACAAGCUCUCAAGGAAAACCUCUUUUUGCCCCACUCAGCUACACACCCAUCCCUUUCCCAGUAAUGCACUUAGUAACCUGG
RNAcentral lists this small nuclear RNA (245 nucleotides) under Nannospalax galili (Upper Galilee mountains blind mole rat). RNAcentral's name for it is "7SK RNA (ENSNGAG00000008067.1)". It matches the Rfam family "7SK RNA". Rfam says of the family: 7SK was discovered as an abundant small nuclear RNA in the mid-70s but a possible function has only recently been suggested. Two independent studies have found that 7SK RNA binds the CDK9/cyclin T complex (known as elongation factor P-TEFb). The record is from Rfam by way of RNAcentral. Lineage: Eukaryota; Metazoa; Chordata; Mammalia; Rodentia; Spalacidae.